UUCAAGCAGAGAUUGGACAACCACAUGUCCAUGAGUGGAGCCAGCUAGAACGGAGGGUCAGACUAGAUGACCCAGGAGGACCCCUUCUGACUUGCUUUGUUCCUAUGUUUCAAAAGGCAUGAAAUAUUAGUUCCCCUAUAUUCAGCAUUAGUCAGACCUCAACUGGAGUACUGUAUCCCGUUCUGGGCACCUAAGUUUUAAAAAGAUGCAGAAAAGCUAGAAAGGCUAUAGAGGAGGGCAGCAAGGAUAAUUCAGGGACUGGAGGCAAAAGUCCUUUGAGGAAAGAUUGAGAGAACUAGGCAAGUUCAGUCUUAAGAAAAGAAGACCAAGGGGAGAUAGAAUAGUACUCUAUCCUAAUUAAUUUAAUUAAUUAAAUUAAUAAUUUUAAGUUGAUUAUUUUGUCCACAGCUUUUCCAUGACCUAUUAAACAAGUUAUCAAGUAAAAAAUUGAAAUACAAUUAUUCUGGCAGGACUUACUCUUGACAUAGUCAUGCUGUCUUCCAGUCAUCACUGAAUUAGUAUCAAGGUGCCUAAAGACUGAGUACUUUAUAAUCUGCUCUAGAAUCUGUUUUCCAAAUAAAGCACCCCACAGCUUUGGAGUAGUUCACAAUAAGCUCUUUCAGCAAUUCAGUCUUACUGUUACCACUGUUUGUUUAUAUAAUAACAGUUUAAUAGGUCCUCAGUAUUUACUUUGUAUUUGUUUCAUAGGACUUUCAGGGUGGAUUGGUGAACGAGGUGUACCUGGGGAUCCAGGCAUUCCUGGGUUGACAGGUGAAAAAGGAGAUCUCGGCCCCACUGGACUUCCAGGAGGAAAAGGUGCUCCUGGCUUUAGAGGAAUCACUGGGUUGCAUGGUUUGGCAGGUGCUAAAGGCUCAGUAGGAUCAUCAGGUCCAGAUGGAUAUGGCCCACCAGGUUUUCUAGGUAUUUGGGGUGACAAAGGUACAGUAGGAGAUCCAAGUCCCAUGGAAGGCAGUAGAGGACCUCCAGGUCAGAAAGGAGAAAGAGGAGAUCCAGGUUUGUUUAUUCACAAGUUUCACACAUGGCACCAUGGCUUUCUCCUCUCCAAAGUUAACAAAAUACCCCUAACCAGAAAACACUUGCCAGAUUAUAGGUUUAAAUUAAGGAAGUAGAAUUAUAGGAUGGAACAGGCAUAUUCACAUGCACUCUUGUGCUUACAUGUCAGGAUGCAUGAAGUGCCCCUGAGGCAUAUGUGUAAAUAAACACAGCUCAGCACCUGCUUCAAAGCAAGGCAUUCUACUCUGUAGCCUUGGACAGCUCAGUCCAUUAAAUGUGAAUUACCAUGCCAUUUCAUUUUAUUAACCAUGCUCCUGUACUACUCUGAAUUAUUAUUAUUUUGACUGUAUUGUUUUUCAAAUAUUUUAAAUUUGAUUUUAAUUCUGAUUUUAAUAGUUUUAUGGGAAUAGCUUUUAAUAUUUAGUAGUAUACAAUUGUACAGUUAAGUAAUACAAAACACAGCAUAUUUUAUAUGUGUCUGAAUCACAAAAUGCAAAAUGUUAAACAUAAAAGAAUUAGAACUAUAUCAAAUCUAUGUGAUGAUGUUUGUGGGGUACUAAUAUUUCAUUUUUUGUUGUUUGUUUCCCUUUUCUGUUUUAAACCUUUCAUUUUAAAAAAGAGAUUGAGGAAAAUGCUCUGAGCCAUCACAAAACUCUAAGUUGAAAAUACCACAUUUGAUUUCAAAAAUACUGCCACCCCACCCCCACACAAAUAGAGUCAGGGAUACAGGUAGAAUAAGCCAUCAAACAAGGGGUACAAGCUGACUGUAUAUAAUAGGGCAGAACCCAGUCAUAAGUAGUACCCGACAGACCAUUGGGAAAACAUGACUUCUUUAUGAGAGCUUCAGCUAUGAGCGGUAUAGAAAUGUUAAUUUUAAAAAUCUGAUGCUUGCUGGCUUUUCAAUCUGAUUUCAUUCGCUUUUCAUUGGCUGUGCAACUUAGUUCCACAGUAGUUAGGCAACAAAACUGAGACACACACAAUAGUAAGCGAGGGGAGGGGAACAUUCUUUUGUGACCCCAAUACUGACUUCACUCAAGUGAGCUUUUAUAGCAAUUCACAAAAAGGCUGUUUGCUACACAAAAAUACUGGUCUGUUUAUACGUCUACAUUAUUGUACCUGUAUUAACUAAGUUACUGCACCACUUAUAUUAUGUUGGCUUCUCUGACACAGUUACAGAAUGCCACCUCCUUCUGUUUUUCUCAAUUAGAUAAGACUAUAGCAAGGGUAGGCAAUGAGGUAUCCAUUUGCACCAAUGAGCUCCUGCACACCUUUAUUUCUAUUCACUAAAGUACCCAAUCACCUUUUGAGGUUAAUUAGUCACUUUUUAUGGCAGUUAGGUCUACAAUAAAACCUUGGAUUGUGAGCAUAAUUCCUUCCAGAAGCGUUGUAAUCCAAAGCACUCGUAUAUCAAAGCAAGUUUCCCCAUAAGGUUCAAUGUAAAUAAGCUUAAUC
Varanus komodoensis (Komodo dragon) is the source of this 2466-nucleotide long non-coding RNA. RefSeq lists it as uncharacterized. Lineage: Eukaryota; Metazoa; Chordata; Lepidosauria; Squamata; Varanidae. The transcript has 3 exons. The record is from RefSeq and is a predicted model, not a curated record.